Molecule: long non-coding RNA, 223 nt
Filed under: Bos taurus (domestic cattle)
Lineage: Eukaryota; Metazoa; Chordata; Mammalia; Artiodactyla; Bovidae
Description: long non-coding RNA NONBTAT000041
Source: RNAcentral
AACUCUGCCCUUAAUUUCUCAUCACUACUGAAAUGUAUAAUUUAAACUCUCAGCCAACAUGUGAAACAAAACAUAUCAAAGCUAGUCAGUGCUAGAAAAAUAAUCAAAUCACUUUUAAGUAAAAUGCAGUAGUUUUAUUUGAAUCAUGAAAAAAAUAUACUUGUUUCCCUUCGAUUAGAAAUCUUGAAAAGAGUAUCCCAUGAAUUUUGACCUUUUAUAGAAG